This 393-nucleotide ribosomal RNA is filed under the name uncultured bacterium. RNAcentral's name for it is "partial 16S ribosomal RNA". It matches the Rfam family "Bacterial small subunit ribosomal RNA", at positions 523 to 918 of the family's 1533-position model. The record is from RNAcentral.
AUACGGAAGGUCCGGGCGUUAUCCGGAUUUAUUGGGUUUAAAGGGAGCGCAGGCGGAGAUGCAAGCGUGACGUCAAAUUUCGGGGCUCAACCCCGUCUCGCGUCGCGAACUGCGUCCCUUGGUUGCGGGAAGGGGAGGCGGAACUCGUGGGGUAUCGGGUAAAUGCAUAGAUAUCACGAAGAACUCCGGUCGCGAAGGCAGCUUUCGGGCCCGUCAACGACGCUCAUGCUCGAAGGUGCGGGUAUAAAACAGGAUUAGAUACCCUGGUAGUCCGCACAGUAAACGAUGGACACCCGCGGUUUGGCCUGUAUGGCUGAGCCGCCAAGCGAAAGCGAUAAGCGCCCCGCCUGGGGAGUACGGCCGCAAGGCUAAAACUCAAAGGAAUUGACGGGG